RNAcentral lists this ribosomal RNA (497 nucleotides) under uncultured bacterium. Its description in RNAcentral is "partial 16S ribosomal RNA". It matches the Rfam family "Bacterial small subunit ribosomal RNA", at positions 28 to 507 of the family's 1533-position model. The record is from RNAcentral.
GAUGAACGCUGGCGGCGUGCCUAAUACAUGCAAGUCGAGCGAACGGACGAGAAGCUUGCUUCUCUGAUGUUAGCGGCGGACGGGUGAGUAACACGUGGAUAACCUACCUAUAAGACUGGGAUAACUUCGGGAAACCGGAGCUAAUACCGGAUAAUAUUUUGAACCGCAUGGUUCAAAAGUGAAAGACGGUCUUGCUGUCACUUAUAGAUGGAUCCGCGCUGCAUUAGCUAGUUGGUCAGGUAACGGCUUACCAAGGCAACGAUGCAUAGCCGACCUGAGAGGGUGAUCGGCCACACUGGAACUGAGACACGGUCCAGACUCCUACGGGAGGCAGCAGUAGGGAAUCUUCCGCAAUGGGCGAAAGCCUGACGGAGCAACGCCGCGUGAGUGAUGAAGGUCUUCGGAUCGUAAAACUCUGUUAUUAGGGAAGAACAUAUGUGUACGUAACUGUGCACAUCUUGACGGUACCUAAUCAGAAAGCCACGGCUAACUACGUG